This 235-nucleotide ribosomal RNA is filed under the name Enterobacter hormaechei. RNAcentral describes it as "partial 23S ribosomal RNA". It matches the Rfam family "Bacterial large subunit ribosomal RNA", at positions 2696 to 2925 of the family's 2925-position model. Lineage: Bacteria; Pseudomonadati; Pseudomonadota; Gammaproteobacteria; Enterobacterales; Enterobacteriaceae. The record is from RNAcentral. RNAcentral also lists the same sequence under 1 other name.
AGUGGACGCAUCACUGGUGUUCGGGUUGUCAUGCCAAUGGCACUGCCCGGUAGCUAAAUGCGGAAGAGAUAAGUGCUGAAAGCAUCUAAGCACGAAACUUGCCCCGAGAUGAGUUCUCCCUGAGACUUUAAGUCUCCUGAAGGAACGUUGAAGACGACGACGUUGAUAGGUCGGGUGUGUAAGCGCAGCGAUGCGUUGAGCUAACCGAUACUAAUGAACCGUGAGGCUUAACCUU